GAUCAUGGCUCAGGAUGAACGCUAGCGGCAGGCUAACACAUGCAAGUCGAGGGGCAGCGGGAUGUAGCAAUACAUUGCCGGCGACCGGCGGAUGGGUGCGUAACGCGUAUGCAACCUACCUUAUACAGGGGAAUAACCUUUCGAAAGGGAGACUAACACCCCAUAGUAUUGAUUUAAGGCAUCUUAGAUUAAUUAAAUAUUUAUAGGUAUAAGAUGGGCAUGCGUAUGAUUAGCUAGUUGGUAAGGUAACGGCUUACCAAGGCGACGAUCAUUAGGGGUUCUGAGAGGAAGGUCCCCCACACUGGUACUGAGACACGGACCAGACUCCUACGGGAGGCAGCAGUGAGGAAUAUUGGUCAAUGGGCGCAAGCCUGAACCAGCCAUGCCGCGUGCAAGGAAGACGGCCUUAUGGGUUGUAAACUGCUUUUACAUAAGACUAACCGUAUAUUUGCGAAUAUACCUGAAUGUAUUAUGAGAAUAAGGAUCGGCUAACUCCGUGCCAGCAGCUGC
RNAcentral lists this ribosomal RNA (510 nucleotides) under uncultured bacterium. RNAcentral describes it as "bacterial SSU rRNA". It matches the Rfam family "Bacterial small subunit ribosomal RNA", at positions 15 to 518 of the family's 1533-position model. The record is from RNAcentral.